UAUUGGGCAAUGGCCGAAAGGCUGGCCCAGCGACGCCGCGUGUGGGAGGAAGCCCUUCGGGGUGUAAACCACUGUCAGAGGGGACAAAAGAGUUCUCGGUAAACAAUCGGGAGCAGUGACGGGACCCUGAAAGGAAGCACCGGCUAACUAUGUGCCAGCAGCCGCGGUAAUACAGAGGGUGCAAGCGUUGUUCGGAAUUACUGGGCGUAAAGCGCGCGCAGGCGGAUCCUGCAAGUCAGAAGUGAAAUCUCAUUGCUCAACGAUGAGGCUGCUUUUGAUACUGCGGAUCUGGAGACCGGUAGAGGCUGGUAGAAUUGCAGGUGUAGCGGUGGAAUGCGUAGAGAUCUGCAAGAAUACCCGUGGCGAAGGCGGCCAGCUGGGCCGGUUCUGACGCUGAGGCGCGAAAGCGUGGGGAGCAAACAG
RNAcentral lists this ribosomal RNA (423 nucleotides) under uncultured bacterium. Its description in RNAcentral is "bacterial SSU rRNA". It matches the Rfam family "Bacterial small subunit ribosomal RNA", at positions 362 to 775 of the family's 1533-position model. The record is from RNAcentral.